This 480-nucleotide ribosomal RNA is filed under the name Selenomonas sp. oral taxon E57. Its description in RNAcentral is "bacterial SSU rRNA". It matches the Rfam family "Bacterial small subunit ribosomal RNA", at positions 28 to 481 of the family's 1533-position model. Lineage: Bacteria; Bacillati; Bacillota; Negativicutes; Selenomonadales; Selenomonadaceae. The record is from RNAcentral.
GACGAACGCUGGCGGCGUGCUUAACACAUGCAAGUCGAACGGGACUAGAAAAGCUUGCUUUGCUAGUCUAGUGGCAAACGGGUGAGUAACACGUAGACAACCUGCCGAUAGGAUGGGGACAACAUUCCGAAAGGAAUGCUAAUACCGAAUGAAGUGUAGGGAAGGCAUCUUCCCUACAUGAAAGAUGGCCUCUAUAUAUAAGCUAUCACCUAUUGAUGGGUCUGCGUCUGAUUAGCUAGUAGGUAAGGUAACGGCUUACCUAGGCGACGAUCAGUAGCCGGUCUGAGAGGAUGAACGGCCACAUUGGGACUGAGACACGGCCCAGACUCCUACGGGAGGCAGCAGUGGGGAAUCUUCCGCAAUGGGCGCAAGCCUGACGGAGCAACGCCGCGUGAGUGAAGAAGGUCUUCGGAUCGUAAAGCUCUGUUGAAGGGGACGAACGUACACAGUGCGAAUAGUUCUGUGUAAUGACGGUACCUU